Oreochromis aureus is the source of this 1467-nucleotide long non-coding RNA. NCBI's taxonomy places the organism in Eukaryota, Metazoa, Chordata, Actinopteri, Cichliformes, Cichlidae. The record is from Ensembl.
CCCGGACGCGAUAUGUGGCUGCACCGUAACGGUCUCAACAUCUUCAACCUCAAAACCGUGAAAAAACAAACAAAGAAAAACAUGUUUUGCUGGACGAGCAGCAGCGUGGGCUCGGAGCCGCUCGACGGCGUCGCUAACAUGUCUAAGAGCGACAUACUGAGAGGAAUCAUCACUGAGAAACUGAGCACAGCCGCCCGGGAGAUCUUAGCGGUGGUGGAGAGGACGAUAGCUGACUACGAGGAGGAGGUCGCGGGCUUCAGACAGGAGAUCGACCGGCAGAGGAGACUGCUGGAGCUUCUGCAGCCUCGGGUCAAGCUUGAGAGAAGAGUUUGAAACGAAGAGGCCCAGCAAAGCUCUGACUGGAGGCACGCAGACCCUUCCAAAUUUCCGGAUCCGCAUCCUGGAGGAUUCCCAGACCGAAGUACUCUCUAACCUUGUGUUUAAGAAAUGUCCGGUGCAGGAUCUGAGGUGUCCUCCUGGUCUACAGGAGGACGACUUCCUGGAGCUGCUGAGGUCCGCCUUCCCUCAGCUAGGCUCUGAUGAACCUUUGGACUUUUUUACAUCCAGCACAAACAGGAGGCUCCAGCCUUUGCAAGUAGAGCCAAGGACCCCAGAGGUGAUCUACAAGGCCAUCAAGACUGCAGGAAGCUCGGCCCUCUACAUCAGACCGAAGAAACAAGAUGACAACUCCAGAUCCAACCCUGCAACACCAUCAGCUGAUGGAGCAAAAUAUAUCAAAAGGGUGAAAUACAAUGACGCAAAGACUCCUAUAGAUUUCCGGAUCCGCAUCCUUGAGGACUCUCAGAUUGACACGCUCUCGAACACUGUGUUUAAGAAAUGUCCGAUGCAGAAUCUGACGUGUCCUCGUGGUCUACAAGAGGACGACUUCCUGGAGCUGCUGAGGUCCACCUUCCCUCAGCUGGGUUCUGAUGAACCUUUGGACUUUCUCAUAUCAAGCUCACACAGAAAGCUCCAGCUGUUGCAAAUAGAGCCAAGAACUCCAGAGGUGAUCUACAACGCCAUCAAUGCUGUUGGAAACUCGGCCCUCUACAUUAGGCCAAAGACAGGGAAGGAGGAAGAGAAGACCCUUCACUCUUUACAGACAAAUGUCGACCCAGUGUCCAGUGAUGCCGAGGCACUAAGAAGUGUUAAAGCUAAACUGCUUUCCAGGUAAUUUAAAAAACUGAUAAAACAACUGAAAUUAAAGAGAUUUGCUACUGAUAUUCUUUUUACAAAGGCUUUUACAAAAACGUCUUCUGAAACAAUAAAAAAGAAAAUGAACAACAUGAAAAAAAAUCAGUUGUAGCCAGAUGACACCAUAACUUACUUUAUUAUUAUGCUUAAUUAAAUUAAUUAAUAUAAAGAAAUGCAUACGUCAUUUUACUAACAGGAGUCAACUGAAAACUAAAGAUGGCGAAAUCUGAGAAAAGAAAAUGGCUCUAGAAUUCGCAAUUUACAGUUUUACAG